ACCCUUUAAUGUUUGAUGUUCUAACGUAGACCCGUGAUCCGGGUUGCGGACAGUGUCUGGUGGGUAGUUUGACUGGGGCGGUCUCCUCCCAAAGAGUAACGGAGGAGCACGAAGGUUAGCUAAUCCUGGUCGGACAUCAGGAGGUUAGUGCAAUGGCAUAAGCUAGCUUGACUGCGAGCGUGACGGCGCGAGCAGGUGCGAAAGCAGGUCAUAGUGAUCCGGUGGUUCUGAAUGGAAGGGCCAUCGCUCAACGGAUAAAAGGUACUCCGGGGAUAACAGGCUGAUACCGCCCAAGAGUUCAUAUCGACGGCGGUGUUUGGCACCUCGAUGUCGGCUCAUCACAUCCUGGGGCUGAAGUAGGUCCCAAGGGUAUGGCUGUUCGCCAUUUAAAGUGGUACGCGAGCUGGGUUUAGAACGUCGUGAGACAGUUCGGUCCCUAUCUGCCGUGGGCGCUGGAGAAUUGAGGGGGGCUGCUCCUAGUACGAGAGGACCGGAGUGGACGCAUCACUGGUGUUCGGGUUGUCAUGCCAAUGGCAUUGCCCGGUAGCUAAAUGCGGAAAAGAUAAGUGCUGAAAGCAUCUAAGCACGAAACUUGCC
This 597-nucleotide ribosomal RNA is filed under the name Klebsiella ornithinolytica. RNAcentral's name for it is "partial 23S ribosomal RNA". It matches the Rfam family "Bacterial large subunit ribosomal RNA", at positions 2202 to 2798 of the family's 2925-position model. RNAcentral also lists the same sequence under 1 other name. Lineage: Bacteria; Pseudomonadati; Pseudomonadota; Gammaproteobacteria; Enterobacterales; Enterobacteriaceae. The record is from RNAcentral.